UGAUUCCUUGUAUUCUGUUAUGCUUUACCUUAUAGAAAAAUGACAGAUCAGGCUGCAUCUUCGCAGAAUAGAGCGUCUCUGGCGAGAUGUGUUUACAGCAGUCACAUGCCGCUUCUACAGUGCGCUGCACCAGCUGGAGGGGGAUGGUCUACUUGACCUGUCCAGUAGUGUUCAUCUCUUCUGCUGCCAUCAUGUUUUUAUUCCCCGCCUGCAAGCCCAGCUUUAUUUAUUCAGAGAUGGCUGGGACAAUCAACCACUUUCAACUGAGAGAAAUAUCACUCCUAAUCAACUGUGGCACAUGGGUCUACAGCACAACUCAGAAGAAAACAAUGUUGAGGAUUUGCAGAUCCCUUUGAUUGAUUGGGAAAGUAGCGGUCUUAUACCCUGUGAUCCAAACUGUGGUGUCCAUGUCCCUGAGACUGACUGCCCUUUGAGACCUGAUGACCUAGCUGGACUUAGUGCUGCUGUGGACCUAAUGGGACACUCAACAUGCAUGGGAAUAGAUAGAUAUUUAGCUGCAGUGGACUAUAUGCACAGCAUUGGCUAUGUGUAGAGUUAUCAGUAUGAACUCUAAUUAUCCAUGCAAUCACAAACACAACUUCAUGUUUGUUUUUAAUCAUGUUUAUUGUAAAUACAUUAGUUCAAAUGUCAAGUACAACUCUAAACCAUUUCAAUAAAAGCCAACAUUUCAACAUCAGGGAACAAUGAAUAACUGAUGAAUGCUUAGAUAUUCAACAAUGUUUAGAAUCUUAAUUAUUAAGUUACAAUUCAAUAGAAAACAAAAUUUAAUGAAAUAACUUGUGAAUUCAGAGCUUUCCACUUUCUACAACAAUCCAAAUCCACUGUCAUUUGUGGCAAUGCAGUUGUCUAAAUGAACACUAAAUUCUCUGAAACUGUUGUAGUAACCAGGUAAGCGAAGGGUGUGGAAGCAUGUGGAUGAAGUGGGAUAUUCCGCUCGAACCACCACCACUUUCAUGCUAGCCAUGGGUAUCUCCCAUCCAACCCAAAAUUUAACAAGCUGUUUCAGCUGCUCUUGGGACACUGAAAGUAUAAAGAGCCAAAUCACAAAACAAGGAUUCUCAAAGGAAUGAAAACUGAGAUAACUAAAGUAAUUAGUAAUCCUACCCAACACUGAGAGUAAUAAUUACUAGGCAAAUUACCUACUAUAGAUUGCCUGCUGUAAAUUACCUUUAGUUUACUAUAGUAGGCUAUCCCAAUAAAAAUUACUAUU
Molecule: long non-coding RNA, 1231 nt
Organism: Sinocyclocheilus anshuiensis
Lineage: Eukaryota; Metazoa; Chordata; Actinopteri; Cypriniformes; Cyprinidae
Exons: 3
Source: RefSeq, a predicted model, not a curated record